GGCGGCAUAGCCAAGAGGCUAAGGCAGCGGUCUGCAAAACCGUUAUUCACCGGUUCGAAUCCGGUUGCCGCCUCCA
Molecule: transfer RNA, 76 nt
Filed under: Desulfatiglans anilini
Lineage: Bacteria; Pseudomonadati; Thermodesulfobacteriota; Desulfobacteria; Desulfatiglandales; Desulfatiglandaceae
Also listed under: 9 other names
Rfam family: tRNA
About the family: Transfer RNA (tRNA) molecules are approximately 80 nucleotides in length. Their secondary structure includes four short double-helical elements and three loops (D, anti-codon, and T loops). Further hydrogen bonds mediate the characteristic L-shaped molecular structure. tRNAs have two regions of fundamental functional importance: the anti-codon, which is responsible for specific mRNA codon recognition, and the 3' end, to which the tRNAs corresponding amino acid is attached (by aminoacyl-tRNA synthetases). tRNAs cope with the degeneracy of the genetic code in two manners: having more than one tRNA (with a specific anti-codon) for a particular amino acid; and 'wobble' base-pairing, i.e. permitting non-standard base-pairing at the 3rd anti-codon position.
Source: RNAcentral